This 253-nucleotide ribosomal RNA is filed under the name uncultured bacterium. RNAcentral's name for it is "partial 16S ribosomal RNA". It matches the Rfam family "Bacterial small subunit ribosomal RNA", at positions 524 to 776 of the family's 1533-position model. The record is from RNAcentral.
UACGGAGGGUGCGAGCGUUGUCCGGAAUCACUGGGCGUAAAGGGCGCGUAGGCGGCUGGGGAAGUCGGCGGUGAAAGCCCGGAGCUCAACUCCGGGUCGGCCGUCGAGACUCCUCGGCUCGAGCUCACUAGAGGCAGAUGGAAUUCCGGGUGUAGCGGUGGAAUGCGUAGAGAUCCGGAAGAACACCGGUGGCGAAGGCAGCCCCCUGGGUUAACACUGACGCUCAGGCACGAAAGCGUGGGGAGCAAACAGG